Acinonyx jubatus (cheetah) is the source of this 905-nucleotide long non-coding RNA. RefSeq lists it as uncharacterized. The transcript has 4 exons. Lineage: Eukaryota; Metazoa; Chordata; Mammalia; Carnivora; Felidae. The record is from RefSeq and is a predicted model, not a curated record.
GACCUAGACGACCGCAGCUCCAAACCCGGUGCCGCGCCCCUCCCACCUAGCGCGCGCAGCCUACGCCAGCCCCGCGGGGCUUGCUGGAGGGCGGGCCCCCCAGCCAAUCACCGCUCCCACUUGGGCGGAUUGACGGUGGACGCCCGGGGCCGGUUGCGGGCAAAGGGGCGGGGCCUCCGGGUGCUGACCAGCCAAUUGAGGCCGUCCGGAAGUACUGCCGGGCGCUUCUAAGGUAGGCUGCGCCGUGGGGGGAGGGGGUGGAAUGAUGUCAGGGCUCGCUUUUAAAGGGGACCUGGGCAGAGUCCAGGGGCUGAGUGUCGCCUGUCCGGGAAGACUUCGUUUCCGAGCGGCAGCACAUGAGACCAUGCUACUUCGUGAACGCGUGGCCCUUGAGGAGGCCGGCCCUAAGUAUUUUACCCAAAGCAUUUCUUUACUGAGCACUGAGGAAGAUCCUUUUCCGUGUAAAAUUUAAAAUUCUGACAUUACUCAAACACCUGCUAUGUGUUUGCGGAGCACUUCCACCUAUGUUACACAGAUUAUAUUAAAUCCUUGCAGUAACUCUAUCAGAUAGCUGCAUUCUUAUUCUCAUUUUGCAGAUGUGGGAACCGAGGGGCCUCACACUUCUGUGACUAGGCGGGGGCUAUCCAGCUAGCGACAGCUGGGGUCUGCACUUGGGCAGCCUCCAGACCCACUGGGGUCUACUGCUGCAACUGUGCAAGAUGCUCAACAAAUCUGCCUGGAAAUAAAAGAAAUGAGGCAGAGAAAAUCUAAUGAUUACUUAAAGGCUCAAAUACUGAAUUUUCAUCAAGUUCAAAAAAUUUGGAUGAAGGUUUGGAUAAACUAUUUGAUGAAAUUCAACUGCAAGUGUUUUCCAAAGUUCCAUUUGAUGAUACAAGAACAGCAGG